AAUGUGCAGCUGAAAGAGGGGCUCGGACGCCAGUGUUUAGGCUGGAGUACAAAGGGGCCGGGGAGCUGGGAGGGCUGCAUGACCUGCAACCAUGGCGGCCGUGGGCUGCGUCAUCACUCUGGAUGGGUGGUGGGCAAGGGCUGAGAGUACAUGGCGGUGAGCGUGGGUGGAGAGUAGGCGGCCGGCGUGGAGCGGUAGGAGGGGGUUUUUCUGGCAUUGUCUGCCCAGCUGCUCCAAGCCAGGCUGAUGAAGGAGGAGUCCCCUGUGGUGAGCUGGAGGUUGUAGCCUGAAGAUGGCACAGCUCUGUGAUUCAUCUCCUGCGGUUGUGGCGGCCACGGUGAUGGAGACUGCAGCUCAACAGGAGUGGUAGGAGGGUACCCGUGGAGGCCAAGUAGUAGGAGCCUUGGAGGGUGAGUAGGUGCAUGGAGGGUGACAGCAGCGCUGGUUCCGUUGGCGUCGGCGCUAAUGGUGGCGGCAGCAGCAAGUCUAGGGGCCAGGAAGGGGGAGUAGGAGAG
RNAcentral lists this long non-coding RNA (515 nucleotides) under Pan troglodytes (chimpanzee). Its description in RNAcentral is "lincRNA". The record is from RNAcentral. Lineage: Eukaryota; Metazoa; Chordata; Mammalia; Primates; Hominidae.